ACUCAAAUGAAUUGACGGGGGCCCGCACAAGCGGUGGAUCAUGUGGUUUAAUUCGAAGCAACGCGAAGAACCUUACCUGGGUUUGACAUCUCCGGCUAUCCCUAGAGAUAGGGAGUUCGUAGCAAUACGACCGGAAGACAGGUGCUGCAUGGCUGUCGUCAGCUCGUGUGGUGACAUGUUGGGUUAAGUCCCGCAACGAGCGCAACCCUUGUCUCUAGUUGCCAGCAUUCAGUUGGGCUCUCUAGAGAGACUGCCGUGGUGAACACGGAGGAAGGUGGGGAUGACGUCAAGUCCUCAUGGCCUUUAUAUCCAGGGCGACACACGUGAUACAAUGGACGGUACAGAGGGACGCUAACCCGCGAGGGGGAGCUAAUCUCAAAAAGCCGUUCUCAGUUCGGAUUGGAGUCUGCAACUCGACUCCAUGAAGUUGGAAUCGCUAGUAAUCGCGGAUCAGCACGCCGCGGUGAAUACGUUCCCGGGCCUUGCACACACCGCCCGU
RNAcentral lists this ribosomal RNA (499 nucleotides) under uncultured bacterium. RNAcentral describes it as "partial 16S ribosomal RNA". It matches the Rfam family "Bacterial small subunit ribosomal RNA", at positions 899 to 1397 of the family's 1533-position model. The record is from RNAcentral.